Molecule: ribosomal RNA, 258 nt
Filed under: Triticum aestivum (bread wheat)
Lineage: Eukaryota; Viridiplantae; Streptophyta; Magnoliopsida; Poales; Poaceae
Description: partial small subunit ribosomal RNA
Source: RNAcentral
AUGGGGAUCUUCUCAAGGUCGAUCGAGCCGCAUGUUUUCGUCCAAGGUCACCAUUUUCUUGGGGGCACGCGGCGCUGGUGGAGACCAUUGCGGAGGGGAACCAAGCGGCAUCGGUGGUGGCGAUCCUGGAGACCGAUUUCCCCUGCAGCUCACGAGAUCGGGAGGGUGAGGGUGGGAGGCGAGAGAGAAGGAGAGGUGGGCACCCUGGACCUGGAGGCCUCGCUCGUUCCUGCCUUCGCUUGCGAGAGAACUACGUGA